AUUUAUUUUGAUUAAAGUGAAAGUAGCUUUUCGCCUUGUAUUUCGACAAUUGUGGAAUGAAUUGUCUGGAAAAAGUUGUACCUGUAUCAUGAACAGCGUUGGUAUUGGCAGUAAAGGAUAUGGAAUUCGCAACCAUUAUAACUCACAUAAUAGUUUUGAUUCUGGGUUUUCUGUUUGGAAUAUUUUCAAUUCGUCAACCGUUCCAGAGAAAGACACACUCUGAUCAUGAAGACGAGGCAUUAUUCGUCGGAGAUGAUAGAUGUUGUCCAAUAUGUUACGACAGAAACAGGAGCAUUGCUUUCCAGUGUGGGCACACUUUCUGCAGUCAAUGUUCUGAUCAGCUGACAGACUGUCCUAAUUGUCGCGUGAAAGUCACACAAAGAUUACGAUUGUUCUCAUAAAUAAUUAUGUAAUAUAUGUUUCCGUAUAAAUUAAUCAUGAUAAUUCUUUUUCACGUUAAUUCAAUUUUUUAAAGUUGAAAAAAAUUGAUCAGGAAAAUUACAUUUCUAUUUCGAUAUUAAUGACUUUGACCUUUAUCUUUAAAACGUGAUUAGUUUAUUGAUUACGUUUUUAUGACAUGAUGCUUUACUUCUUUGUCUGCUUUAAUGAACUUUUGUCAGAAUUACAAUGCUUGUGGAAAGAGUUAACGUAGAAAAUUCAGAUUCAUGUUUGUUCAAAUCAUGAUC
Magallana angulata is the source of this 686-nucleotide long non-coding RNA. RefSeq lists it as uncharacterized. NCBI's taxonomy places the organism in Eukaryota, Metazoa, Mollusca, Bivalvia, Ostreida, Ostreidae. The record is from RefSeq and is a predicted model, not a curated record. The transcript is spliced from 3 exons.